Oncorhynchus mykiss (rainbow trout) is the source of this 2858-nucleotide long non-coding RNA. RefSeq lists it as uncharacterized. Lineage: Eukaryota; Metazoa; Chordata; Actinopteri; Salmoniformes; Salmonidae. The record is from RefSeq and is a predicted model, not a curated record.
UCACUUGUUAUCAGUCAUCCAAACCAACUAUUUGUGUCUUUCGACACGCCUAAGCAAAGUUGUGCCUCCUUCGCAGGUUCCGUAAUCAGGAAGUAACGCUUUGUUUACAUCGUGGGCAAGUUAGGGGAAAAUACCUCAAACCAGAGCUGUACAACAUGGCCGACGACGUACUCUGCGUUCCUACACCUAGAGAUGGUGUCCCAUAUUUACAGAGACCAAGCCUCAAGAGGGGAAAUGGACAAGAUAGGGCCUCUUGUGUGUUCACUCUGGAAGGCAUGGGCUUCAGAGUAGGACACGGGCUUAGAGAAAGAAUAAUAGUGAAGACAUCAAAACUAUGAAAGAACACACAUGGAAUCAGGUAGUAACCAAAAAAGUGAUUUUCAUAUUUAUCCCAUGUCGUUUCAUUGGCUCUUUGUUGACUGUAUAUGCUAAAGCAACAACACAUAGUUGUGGGCAAAAUAACAUAUAUUUUUUUGCCACUAGAGGGUAGUCUCUGCAAAAUACUCUUCUGACAGCAAGCAGGUGAAUUGUGUCAGUGCAUUUUCCUUUGAAAAGAGAGCCCAGUUGAACAUUAUAGCAGUGAUAUCCAGCUCUCAAGUUGACUCUGUUAUUAUCUUGGGAUAUGAUCUGUCUGCCCUACCCUGCAUCAAAAGCAAUACAUUUAAGACCUGGAUUGAAGAUGAUGUUUGUACAAAAUUAUACUUUAAAGGGGCACUCUGCAGUUGCUACAUUUUUGUACUUGUGAAUGAUAUGUACCUAUUGAUUAUUUAAGAAUAUGAUUUAUAAAUGCCUCAGUGCUUAGUUCAACUGUUGUACCCCUUACAGAACACAAAAUAUAAGAUUAUUUUACCCCAAUGUUUGUAAAUAAAGUAAACGUAAACAAACACUAUAUAGCCUUAACUUGGUUAAAAACUAUAAUUUGGUAUGGUCAGUCCUUGCAUCCAUAGCUUUAUCUAUGAUUUUCAGAGUGGUUCCAUUUCUCCAGCCCAUCCCGCAGCUUUUUACCAAAACGAGCUGAGAGUACACUUUGUUAUUAUUACAACUACUGAUUGCCGCUUUAAAACACUAUUUGAUCUAGUUUGGUACUUCCUGAAAACAGGAAGUUACCUCAUCUCUUACUGUUCCAUGAGAAUGUUUUAUGGAUUGAAAUGCAUAAUUCUGUUCUGUUUACGAUCAGUGCCUCAGGCUCUAGAAAGGCUCUGUGUUCAGCUUUCAACAUUUCAAAGGGAGAGCCACCUACAGCCAAAACCUCUGUUUUGUAUGAAAUUGUGCUUACAUUUUUUUUAGGCAAGUCAGUAUAGAAAAAUGAUUUACUAUGACAGCCUACCCCGGGCAAACCCUAACCCAGACGAUGCUGGGCCAAUUGUAUGCUGCUAUAUGGGACGCCCAAUCAAGGCCCGUUGUGAUACAGCCUGGAAUCGAACCAGAGUCUGUAGUGGCGCCUCUAGCAGUGCAGUGCCUUAGAACACUGCGCCACUCGGGAGCCCCAACAGGACAUGAUUGAUCUAUUUGGCACAAAACUUUGUGAUGGUCAAAAUGGCAUAUUGUUAAGUACAGAGCAACAGAAUUAGCCUAGGUUAGAUAAAUCCUCUUCUAGUUUUUUACUUGUCCGGGGACUUUUAAGAGGAAGGAGGAUGUAUGUAGGCUAUGUGACUGGAGUGUGUCCCAGAUAUCCAUUCCCUUGUGAUCUUGGCUUCAUUCGUUUUGACAUCAAGCAGAAUAUUUUACAGUACAAAGCCUUUAAAUAUUCAACAUGGAAACCUCUCCCUACCUCUGAUGAUAGGUUUUAUACCCUUUUCAAAGACCCUGUCCUCUUCCUGAUUUUGACAUAUCAGUCAAGUCAGGUUUAUUAGUGCUCUCUUAAAACCAGCUUUAUUAGACUGACACAUCUGUUAUGUAAUUCUCUGUAAGAUUUUGGCUUUGGUUCACGUUACUUGGAAAUGUCUUGCCUUGGCCUUUUUAAGGAAAGGCAUUCUUAGGAUAAAGGGAUUUGUCAGUACCUCCAAAACCAAAACUUGUAUUGCUCCCCUCAACAUAGCCAAAGGUCGAUCAUUCCUUCACCUUAACGCGUCUUAAAUCGCCGUAUCCAAGCACAUAGUUCCACCGCGCCACACCGGCGCCUUCGCUUAAACGCCUUUUUUUUCCCCCUUUGAUGGAAAGAAACAAAUACAGAAUGCUUUGGCUUUAAACUAAGAUACACAAAGGAGAACGUAGGGCAAGACUACCCGGCGUGAGCCAUUCACCGGCUCUCUUUGUGGAGAACUUUUACUUUGCCACAGGGAGAAGUAAAUAAAUGCUCUGAGCCAGAUCUCCAGCUGUCUCACUUCUCCUUUCUAAAGCCAUAAAAAAAAAGAGAGGCUGGAGCGAGGCAGUGUCUACUCCUCCAUUCUAAAGCAGAGAAUUAACUAUGACCAACUUCAAACGCCCCGUCUGGUCUGAAUGUAUGUUCAAGUCAACAUCCUCCACAGUUCCACCUCUUCAUUUCUUGUCCUUCCAUUCCUUUAUUUUCCGUCUGAUGCAGUUCUGUUUUAUUUUUUUUUGGGGGGGGGGGUUUCCCCAAGCAUAACCACCUGUGCUGGAGCGCUUUCUUCCCUCAAAUGUUUUUUUUUUCUUUUCUUUUCUUCCUGUGUUGUGUACUGUUUCUGUUUUAUAUUUCUACCAUAUAGAGUUGGUUGUAGUGAAUGUAUUUCUGUUUUUUUUUUUUUUUUUUUUUUUUCUUUCAGGAAACCGGUUCAAAGACCUAUGCAAUUUUUACUACCAUGGUUGUUGUACUAUGCGUACCUGUACUUUAAUAGCUGUUAUGGUCUUUAAUUGUAUGUUUUUUUCCCCUCCAAAUAAAGAUCAUUUUUUGAACUCUU